RNAcentral lists this ribosomal RNA (501 nucleotides) under uncultured bacterium. RNAcentral's name for it is "partial 16S ribosomal RNA". It matches the Rfam family "Bacterial small subunit ribosomal RNA", at positions 30 to 523 of the family's 1533-position model. The record is from RNAcentral.
AUUGAACGCUGGCGGCAGGCUUAACACAUGCAAGUCGAGCGGGGGAAGGUAGCUUGCUACUGGACCUAGCGGCGGACGGGUGAGUAAUGCUUAGGAAUCUGCCUAUUAGUGGGGGACAACAUCUCGAAAGGGAUGCUAAUACCGCAUACGUCCUACGGGAGAAAGCAGGGGAGCUUCGGACUUUGCGCUAAUAGAUGAGCCUAAGUCGGAUUAGCUAGUUGGUGGGGUAAAGGCCUACCAAGGCGACGAUCUGUAGCGGGUCUGAGAGGAUGAUCCGCCACACUGGGACUGAGACACGGCCCAGACUCCUACGGGAGGCAGCAGUGGGGAAUAUUGGACAAUGGGGGGAACCCUGAUCCAGCCAUGCCGCGUGUGUGAAGAAGGCCUUAUGGUUGUAAAGCACUUUAAGCGAGGAGGAGGCUACUUUAGUUAAUACCUAGAGAUAGUGGACGUUACUCGCAGAAUAAGCACCGGCUAACUCUGUGCCAGCAGCCGCCGUAA